ACUCCGGUUGAUCCUGCCGGACCCGACCGCUAUCGGGGUAGGGCUAAGCCAUGGGAGUCGAACGCCCCGCCGCUGCGGGGCGUGGCGGACGGCUGAGUAACACGUGGCUAACCUACCCUCGGGACGGGGAUAACCCCUCGGGAAACUGGGGCUAAUCCCCGAUAGGCGGGGGGUGCCUGGAAGGGUCCUCCGCCGAAAGGGGCCGCGGGGGGUUAUCGCCCGCGGCCCGCCCGAGGAUGGGGCUGCGGCCCAUCACGGUAGUUGGCGGGGUAAUGGCCCGCCAAGCCUACGACGGGUAGGGGCCGUGAGAGCGGGAGCCCCCAGAUGGGCACUGAGACAAGGGCCCAGGCCCUACGGGGCGCACCAGGCGCGAAAACUCCGCAAUGCGGGCAACCGUGACGGGGCUACCCCGAGUGCCCCCCUUGGGGGGGCUUUUCCCCGCUGUAAGUAGGCGGGGGAAUAAGCGGGGGGCAAGACUGGUGUCAGCCGCCGCGGUAAUACCAGCCCCGCGAGCGGUCGGGGUGCUUACUGGGCCUAAAGCGCCCGUAGCCGGCUCGACAAGUCCCCGCCUAAAGCCCCGGGCUCAACCCGGGGAGUGGCGGGGAUACUGUCGGGCUAGGGGGCGGGAGAGGCCGAGGGUACUCCCGGGGUAGGGGCGAAAUCCAUUAAUCCCGGGAGGACCACCAGUGGCGAAGGCGCUCGGCUGGAACGCGCCCGACGGUGAGGGGCGAAAGCCGGGGGAGCGAACCGGAUUAGAUACCCGGGUAGUCCCGGCUGUAAACGAUGCGGGCUAGGUGUUGGGCGGGCGUGCGAGCCCGCCCAGUGCCGCAGGGAAGCCGUUAAGCCCGCCGCCUGGGGAGUACGGCCGCAAGGCUGAAACUUAAAGGAAUUGGCGGGGGAGCACCACAAGGGGUGGAGCCUGCGGCUUAAUUGGAGUCAACGCCGGGAACCUCCACCGGGGGCGACAGCAGGAUGACGGCCAGGCUGAAGGCCUUGCCCGACGCGCUGAGGGGAGGUGCAUGGCCGUCGCCAGCUCGUGCCGUGAGGUGUCCUGUUAAGUCAGGCAACGAGCGAGACCCCCGCCCCUAGUUGCCAUCCCCGGGGCGACCCGGGGGGCACACUAGGGGGACUGCCGCCGCUAAGGCGGAGGAAGGAGGGGGCAACGGCAGGUCAGCAUGCCCCUAAACCCCCGGGCUGCACGCGGGCUACAAUGGCGGGGACAGCGGGUGCCGACCCCGAAAGGGGGAGGCAAUCCCUCAAACCCCGCCUCAGUUGGGAUCGAGGGCUGCAACUCGCCCUCGUGAACGUGGAAUCCCUAGUAACCGCGCGUCAUCAUCGCGCGGUGAAUACGUCCCUGCUCCUUGCACACACUGCCCGUCGCUCCACCCGAGGGGGGAGGGGGUGAGGCCCUCUCCGCCGGGAGGGGGUCGAACCCCCUCCCCCCGAGGGGGGAGAAGUCGUAACAAGGUAGCCGUAGGGGAACCUGCGGCUGGAUCACCU
Molecule: ribosomal RNA, 1500 nt
Filed under: Aeropyrum pernix
Lineage: Archaea; Thermoproteati; Thermoproteota; Thermoprotei; Acidilobales; Acidilobaceae
Description: 16S rRNA
Rfam family: Archaeal small subunit ribosomal RNA
Source: RNAcentral